Molecule: non-coding RNA, 387 nt
Organism: Theobroma cacao (cacao)
Lineage: Eukaryota; Viridiplantae; Streptophyta; Magnoliopsida; Malvales; Malvaceae
Source: RefSeq, a predicted model, not a curated record
GAAAAAGUGUGGGAUUUCAAAGGAUCAAGCAAUCAAAGGUGGUGGGCCCUCUAACAAGGGUAGAGAAAUUGUGUCCGAAGAUCGGGAAUAGGAGUAUAUCGAACUCCUAGUACUGUGGUGGGCCCUCUAACAAGGGUAGAGAGAUUAUGCCCGAAGAUCGGGAAUAGGAGUAUAUCGAACUCCUAGUAUUUUUGCUGCAGCGAGCAAAUUCUGUGGACCGACCUAUUAGAGGGGCACAGAAUCCAGAUAUAUAUAUGUACCUCAGUUGGAGAGGCGCGUAGGGUAUCUCCUGAGGUAUGGACAGAGUUAACGUCACGCCGAACUACCCCGUGAUGAUGAACUCCGCUAACGUCAAGGAAUGGUUGUGUUUUUCAAACUAAAAAUAUG